GGCAGCCGCCGCGGUAACACCGGCGGCCCGAGUGGUGAUCGUGAUUAUUGGGUCUAAAGGGUCCGUAGCCGGUUUGGUCAGUCCUCCGGGAAAUCUGAUAGCUCAACUAUUAGGCUUUCGGGGGAUACUGCCAGACUUGGAACCGGGAGGGGUAAGAGGUACUACAGGGGUAGGAGUGAAAUCUUGUAAUCCCUGUGGGACCACCUGUGGCGAAGGCGUCUUACCAGAACGGGUUCGACGGUGAGGGACGAAAGCUGGGGGCACGAACCGGAUUAGAUACCCGGGUAGUCCCAGCCGUAAACGAUGCUCGCUAGGUGUCAGGCAUGGCGCGACCGUGUCUGGUGCCGCAGGGAAGCCGUGAAGCGAGCCACCUGGGAAGUACGGCCGCAAGGCUGAAACUUAAAGGAAUUGGCGGGGAGCACAACAACGGGUGGAGCCUGCGGUUUAAUUGGACUCAACGCCGGACAACUCACCGGGGGCGACAGCAAUAUGUAGGCCAAGCUGAAGACUUUGCCUGAAUCGCUGAGAGGUGGUGCAUGG
This 540-nucleotide ribosomal RNA is filed under the name uncultured archaeon. Its description in RNAcentral is "bacterial SSU rRNA". It matches the Rfam family "Archaeal small subunit ribosomal RNA", at positions 457 to 997 of the family's 1478-position model. The record is from RNAcentral.